Molecule: ribosomal RNA, 409 nt
Filed under: bacterium enrichment culture clone ALO1_GLFRUDD03GIC8F
Lineage: Bacteria
Description: bacterial SSU rRNA
Rfam family: Bacterial small subunit ribosomal RNA
Source: RNAcentral
GAGUUUGAUCAUGGCUCAGAUUGAACGCUGGCGGCAUGCCUUACACAUGCAAGUCGAACGGCAGCACGGGAGCUUGCUCCUGGGUGGCGAGUGGCGAACGGGUGAGUAAUGCAUCGGAACGUAUCCUGGAGUGGGGGAUAACGUAGCGAAAGUUACGCUAAUACCGCAUAUUCUGUGAGCAGGAAAGCGGGGGACCUUCGGGCCUCGCGCUCUUGGAGCGGCCGAUGUCGGAUUAGCUAGUUGGUGAGGUAAAGGCUCACCAAGGCGACGAUCCGUAGCAGGUCUGAGAGGAUGAUCUGCCACACUGGAACUGAGACACGGUCCAGACUCCUACGGGAGGCAGCAGUGGGGAAUUUUGGACAAUGGGGGCAACCCUGAUCCAGCCCAUGCCGCGUGAGUGAAGAAGGCC